This 465-nucleotide ribosomal RNA is filed under the name uncultured Klebsiella sp. RNAcentral's name for it is "bacterial SSU rRNA". It matches the Rfam family "Bacterial small subunit ribosomal RNA", at positions 338 to 795 of the family's 1533-position model. Lineage: Bacteria; Pseudomonadati; Pseudomonadota; Gammaproteobacteria; Enterobacterales; Enterobacteriaceae. The record is from RNAcentral.
CCUACGGGGCGCAGCAGUGGGGAAUAUUGCACAAUGGGCGCAAGCCUGAUGCAGCCAUGCCGCGUGUGUGAAGAAGGCCUUCGGGUUGUAAAGCACUUUCAGCGGGGAGGAAGGCGGUGAGGUUAAUAACCUCAUCGAUUGACGUUACCCGCAGAAGAAGCCCCGGCUAACUCCGUGCCAGCAGCCGCGGUAAUACGGAGGGUGCAAGCGUUAAUCGGAAUUACUGGGCGUAAAGCGCACGCAGGCGGUCUGUCAAGUCGGAUGUGAAAUCCCCGGGCUCAACCUGGGAACUGCAUUCGAAACUGGCAGGCUAGAGUCUUGUAGAGGGGGGUAGAAUUCCAGGUGUAGCGGUGAAAUGCGUAGAGAUCUGGAGGAAUACCGGUGGCGAAGGCGGCCCCCUGGACAAAGACUGACGCUCAGGUGCGAAAGCGUGGGGAGCAAACAGGAUUAGAUACCCGGGUAGUC